This is a long non-coding RNA of Neoarius graeffei (lesser salmon catfish), 1474 nucleotides long. RefSeq lists it as uncharacterized. NCBI's taxonomy places the organism in Eukaryota, Metazoa, Chordata, Actinopteri, Siluriformes, Ariidae. The record is from RefSeq and is a predicted model, not a curated record. The transcript is spliced from 2 exons.
AACCUUUUUAGGCAAAUGUUGGGGGAUAAUAAUUUAAUUUCUUCAUCAUUUUUCUUUAAUUUCAGUAAAUGUCACAUGACCAGGCCAUGAAAUGAAGCCAGUUUUAGAAAUUUUCACUGUUCUAUUUAAUCUGACUUUUUCCUCCCAGUUGACUUUAAUGCUGUUUGUUGUUCAGUAAAAUUGAUUUAAAAUUCAUCUGAAAGCAGAAGAUGGAGUCAGUCAGAGUCUCCAAAAUGUCCCGUCUGAGUGCAUGAGAGUGAUUGUAAAUGAACACCUCGUCUCCUUGUGACACCCUGCUGUCUCUGACUUCAUCCUGCUGCUUUUGUCUGAAUAAGGGUGUAUUCAGACCAGGAUAGUUCGAUAGUUCACUUGCUUUGGUCCGAACCAAAUGUUUUGUUUUUUUUUUUCAUUUUGGUGCGGUUCGCUUUCACACUGUAUAUUUUAGUAAGCGGACCAAAAUCUGUCAGCAAAGCCACGCGCCCUGAGGUCGUUCAGCUAUUGGUCAGAGACGACACGCGCACAAAGCGUUAAGUUCAAAAGUAGUCAUGGAGGCUUUCCGUGCUGUUAUUCUUUUUAAUGUCAUCAAAGCUAUAUGUUUUUUCCAGUUUUUACUGUUUUCACAAUUGUGCGAUUACUAUGCUGUUGUACAAGUAAUUUAUCAAAGACGACUUCAAAGGGCAAGGCGGCUACGGAGGAUAGCGCUGAUGAGCGCACAUCAUGUUGUGACAGUUCUGGCUCUUCACGCAAGACGGAGGAGUUGGUGGUGAACAUCUGUGCAUGUGAUGAAUACUCUGGUGUUCCUGCAUUUCCAUGUUGAGGAACAGACAACACAUUCAUAAACACAUCAGUCAUUUAGAUCUGCAUGAAACUGCCUGGACCUCAGUCCCUUAAAAACCCUGAAAGAGCAGGUGAAAAAGCACAGGGACUCGAGCUGAACCCAGUCAGUGGAAGAGGGAGCUGAAAUGGACAGGAACAGUUUCAGAACAUUGGUGGGAUUCUCACCUGACAGGAUCGGCAUUUCAGGAGUUAAUCUGAGGCCCUGAGGAGACUCAGCACAAGGCCACAUUUAUCACUUUGUCCUUUGGUUGGUGUUUAAUGUAGUUUAGAUCUUUUUAUUACAGGAUCAGACCGAAUCUGUUCAUAAUUUUCUCUGAUAUGAGAUCAGUGCCCCCUCUUACUUUAGUAUACACGACUUACAGUAUUUUUACAGAAUUGAACCAAAUACAUUGAGCAAAUAAUUAUAUUAUUCAGUCUAGUUAUUUUUGUUGUAUGAAGUUUAUGUAUGUAACAUGAAUUUUGUAGCAAUAAAGUUAACUUCUGUAUCAGUUAUUCAAAAUAUAUAAGAACUUUAUGUGGGGGCUACAUUAUCUGUUACUUCUUGGGAUUUCAGGUGUAAUGCUUAAGAGAUUGAGAAACACAAACUGUUUUUGUAAAACCAAUAACAAGCAUUUUUUAUUAAAUGUCAAUAUUUUCA